Molecule: ribosomal RNA, 494 nt
Filed under: uncultured bacterium
Lineage: Bacteria
Description: bacterial SSU rRNA
Rfam family: Bacterial small subunit ribosomal RNA
Source: RNAcentral
GACGAACGCUGGCGGCGUGGAUUAGGCAUGCAAGUCGGACGGUAGGGCUUUAUCGUAAGAUAGAGUUUGAGAGUGGCGAACGGGUGAGUAACACGUAGGAAUCUACCCUUAAGACGGGGACAACCCAGGGAAACUUGGGCUAAUACCGGAUGAGAGUGCGAGAGAUUGCAUUUAAAAGGAUGGCGAAAGUUGUCGCUUAGGGAUGAGCCUGCGGUCUAUUAGUUAGUUGGUGAGGUAAGAGCUCACCAAGGCGAUGAUAGAUAGGCGGCCUUAACGGGUGGUCGCCCACACUGGGAUUGAGAUACGGCCCAGACUCCUACGGGAGGCAGCAGUCGAGAAUAGUCUACAAUGGCCGGAAGGCUGAUAGUGCGACGCCGCGUGAACGAGGGAGCCCUUCGGGGUGUAAAGUUCUUUUCUAUACGAGCAGUGCUAUAUAUAUGGAUAGUAUAUAUAGAGGGAUAGUAGUAUAGGAAUAAGCACCGGCUAACUACGUG